UACGUAGGGUGCAAGCGUUGUCCGGAAUUAUUGGGCGUAAAGAGCUCGUAGGCGGUCUGUCACGUCGGCUGUGAAAUCCCGAGGCUCAACCUCGGGUCUGCAGUCGAUACGGGCAAACUAGAGUAUUGCGAGGGGAGACUGGAAUUCCUGGUGUAGCGGUGGAAUGCGCAGAUAUCAGGAGGAACACCGGUGGCGAAGGCGGGUCUCUGGGCAGUAACUGACGCUGGAGGAGCGAAAGCGUGGGGAGCGAACAGG
This 255-nucleotide ribosomal RNA is filed under the name uncultured bacterium. Its description in RNAcentral is "partial 16S ribosomal RNA". It matches the Rfam family "Bacterial small subunit ribosomal RNA", at positions 524 to 776 of the family's 1533-position model. The record is from RNAcentral.